GCCAUCCCAGUUCGGAUUGCAGUCUGAAACUCGAGUGCAUGAAGCUGGAAUCGCUAGUAAUCGCAAAUCAGAAUGUUGCGGUGAAUACGUUCCCGGGUCUUGUACACACCGCCCGUCACACCAUGGGAGUUGGAAAUGCCCGAAGUCAGUGACCCAACCUAAGGGAGGGAGCUGCCGAAGGCAGGUUCGAUGACUGGGGUGAAGUCGUAACAAGGUAGC
RNAcentral lists this ribosomal RNA (219 nucleotides) under uncultured bacterium. RNAcentral describes it as "partial 16S ribosomal RNA". It matches the Rfam family "Bacterial small subunit ribosomal RNA", at positions 1282 to 1500 of the family's 1533-position model. The record is from RNAcentral.